GAACCCACCUUGCAAAAAAUGGAUAAACCACCCAUUAUUUCAAAGAUAAUUUUCUUUAAAUAAUGACUUUGUUUUUACGGGGAAAUGUGAUACAUGGCAGUUCAGUGAGCAUUUUCAUUCAAUUACAAUUGGAAUUGUCUGAAGAAUUUAAGUUAGCCCAUUAGAUUUCUACACAAGUCAGUGAACACAUUGACCUGCUCUAGAACUUCAAAGAGAAACCGGGAAUGGUCAAAUUCACAACUCCUCUGGACUGGGCCAAGGUUCGGAAUAAAUUACCAACACCUGCAUAGGGCUUUAGACGUUAAACCAAUUACAAGUGUCUAAUUCAAAUUCUACUCUUAACACCAAUGGGUUUUUUUUAUUACUUCUUUGGAAACUCUUAAUAAUCCUUCCUCUUGGUGGGAUUGAAGGCUAUUAGGAUUUUCCCAGCUGGGUGUAACUGAAUAACUGUGUCUGUGAGAUCUUGUUAAUAACACAGUUUAAGGGACCAUUUCCAAUGUAAAACAUUAAGAAGCUGUGGUUUCUGGCAGGCCACAAACACUCCACCCUGCUAGUGUGAACAGACACAUUGGGAGUCUCAUAAGAAAGCAUAAACACGUUGCUAGUGUUUCCAUAAGAUCAACUCAUUAUGCUGCAAAUGUCAUUCUAUCUUUAUCUUACUCCCCCCCCCCCCAAAAGCAGAAAUGCAUUCCAAUCCUACUUUACUCAGAAGCACACUAGAAUUCAGUGGGACUUAGCCCUAGUAAAUGUGGCUACGAAUGCAGCUCAAAUUCCUUAAAGGACUUUAUAAAUGUAUGGGUUACUGAUAGCAAAAAGAUAAGUUUUUAAUUUCACCAUGUCCUUCUCUCCUACACAUACUUAUUUGCUGUGAGAAUUUUAUUCUCUUCACUAGUAUUCUGGCAGAUCACAAAUGCUGGUAAGUGGCAGCUUUCUGCCAAGCUGGCCUAACAGUAGUAUCCACAGAGUCAGAGCCCUCCUUGCCAAGUACAAACCCAAAGAUCUCAAUAGAGAGUCACCUCCACCUGAUCCUACCCCCCCCCCCCCAGCAACAUAGAUCAGGGGUUAGGAAUUCACUGUAAGCAUGCUUAGGAUUGCAGCCUUAUUUUCAGUUUCCCUCAGUAUUAGAUUUAUACAGGGCUGCAAGUUCUUUUCCCCCCUUUGGUGAGGUUCCUUUGCCUUUGAAUAGCUGCCUGUUUGCUAGUUUAACUGCGACUUUACUGCAUAUCUGGAAGUUGUGAGGACACAGCAGCCCUAAAAGUUAACAAAACAUAGUCUAUACUCAAGGGUCAAUAUUAUUUAUUAUAGUGUGGUGCACAAUUGGCCUGGGGGGAUAGGCUAAUUACAAUAUUAAAGCCAGAAAUGAUGAAUACCAAAGUCCUUUUCCUGUCUUAUGUUCAGUUUGAGGAAAAGAGGUACUAAAGCUGCAAUUCUAAUCCCACUAAACAAUAUUGAAUUCAAUAGGACUUCUGAGUAGACAUGGUGAAGGCUGUGUGCAAACUACAGUGGUACCUCGGGUUACAUAUGCUUUAGGUUACAAACUCCGCUAUGCCAGAAAUAGUAUCUCCGAUUAAGAACUUUGCUUCAGGAUGAGAACAGAAAUUGUGCUCCUGCGGCGCGGCAGCAGCAGGAGGCCCCAUUAGCUAAAGUGGUGCUUCAGGUUAAGAACAGUUUCAGGUUAAGAACGGACCUCCGGAACGAAUUAAGUACUUAACCCGAGGUACCACUGUAUACUUUUAAAGUAUACCUUUGAAGCACACCCUCAAAGAAUUCUGGGCACUGUAGCUUACUUCUCUCAGAGUUACAGUUCCCAGCAACACUUAACAAACUAGAGUGCUCAGAAUACUUUGAGGGAAAGAAUGUGUUUUGAAUGAUCUUUAAAGGUACAGUAUAGAUUGUACAGUAAGUUGCUGUCUGCCUCCCUUCAUUCUUUACAUAUUGAAAUAAAGCUAGACAGGGUGGGGGGGCUUUUUUUUUUUUUAAGCAUGUGAUUCUGUUUUCCUUUGCACAGCUUGGCUCUGCUAUAAAGAGAGCUGUAUCUUUAGAACCACAUCUGUGGUAUGAUAAAGUGCAUGGUUGAAUUCAAGAUGUUUCCCUGACAUAUACAGACAAGAAAAAUUAUUAUUAGACUUGGAUCAGUUGAACUAAAGUAUUUGUGCAAGUUGCAAGUCAAGGAAACCACAUAUAAAUGCUGGGGGGCAGAUUCAACUAGAAAGCUGUGCUGGCUCCUUCUAGUACAAUGGGGCCCCUCUAGCACAUUGAGGUUUCCCCUCCUUCUCCCAUGUGCCCUUGCCCCCCCCCCAUUGGCUUGGGAGUGCAGGAGAACCUUAGAAACAGCACACAGGAGGAAGAGAGGAGAGAUCAAUCCACCUGGCAAGCAGAAAUGCUUGUGCUGAUAGUAUGACAUUGAAUUCCAUCCUAAGACAAUGGCAAACUCAUAAACUUUAUUCAGUUACUGACAACCAAGAGGAAAUGGGGGCAGCUUCAAACUUCCACUCACCACCUUAUAAAUUGUAAAUUUCUGUAUCUGUGAUGUGUUGACAACUUCAUGUUAGCUUAGCAAUGAGGUUUUUAUUGGGGGCCAAAAUUAUAUCAAUAGCUCACUGUGAUUUUUCCAGGCAUAGUAGCCAACUCCUUGAGGCCAAGGUCUCUUCAACCUCCCCCCAUAAUAUUUGAGGGGGUAGGCCCCCCCAGUUGAUAGGGAAUGCCAUUCAAAUGGUAUGUGCAUGCCAUGUCUUGAGAUUGAUUAUGUGGGGUGGGGCUUACCUGCCCCCCGCCCCAUAUUUUAUUCAAAUGAGUACCACUUCACAAAAGCAGCCAACUGCAGAGAGAGUCACCUAGGCAGUUGGGAUUCCUGGGGAAGAUACGACAGAGUCCUAGGUUUUGACCUCUGGAUCUGAGUUGGUGAACAUGGUAGACUAGUCUUCUUACUGCUUUACACUGAACCAACAAGUUCAUAAGAUUGUGGUGGUCUGUUCCUUCCUUUUCUUGCUGAAGCGAUGCAUUGCAGCCUGAACACAGAACUUAAAGGCAGUUACCUUGGGCCUACCCUGAACUUUCCUUUUCACCCAAGUACUUCAGAAGAACUAACUCCUGCAGGGCAGUGAAUUAUCUAAUCCUCACAGCUCACUCUGUUCACAGACCAAAGGCACUGUGUCUACCUCACAGAAGCUGUGUAUAUCAAAGGGUACGUUGUGCUGACAGUAAUGCUAUGGGUGAAUACUGUGAUCUCUCUGCAGCCAUAAGGCUCUAACAGUAGAACGACAAAGAACGAUCUUGGGGUGAACACUGUGGCUUUCAGUAUUUCUUGGUGUCUUGCAAAAUGUGUUUCUCUGCCUUGGGAUUUUGAGUAGACAUGUAGCUGUACUGUCAGUAUUGCAGCUUUUUAUUUCACAGCUGACUCAUGUAUUUUGCACACUUGGGGGGAAGGUUCCUUCUGUGUUUUUAACUGCAGUUUGCAGAUAUUAUCCGGGGAUAAUGUGUAGUUCCAGGACUACGAAAACAUCAGCUUCUGAUUUCUACUGAUCAGGCUGCUUUAAAAAGCAUUGGAGCAGCCCAGGAUAUUGUUUUCUCAUCAUUUGGCAACCCUACUUUAGAAUCUCUCUGUUUUUCAAUUUUUUUAAAAACCGAAGCAAUGUUUCUGUUCCUCUUCUCUGCAAUAUACUUUUGUAAAUCUAAGGCCCCUUAGACACCUUGUAAGAAGUAUCCCAUUUAAUCUAGCACAGGAGUUUUAAUUAAAUUGCAUUCCUUAUUCUUCUAGCAGAAACUGCUCUGCCUGUAGCCUGAAAAAUUGGAAGAGCACAGCUCAUUUUGAUCUUGGAGUAAAAGUCAGGAUCAAGAGCAGCAUGUCAGGAAAAUAAUAUUUCUUUUGCUUUAAAAUUUAGGUCAUUUUUGAAAAUUAAAUUAAGACUAGAAAAAUAAGCGAGAAAAACAGGAAGCACUGCCCUAAAGACAGAAAGCAGCUUGUUGUUAGACAGGUUUGAGAAACAUUACCAUAAAAUGUGUUACAUGCAGCAUUACCAACUUCUAAACAGGCCCUUGUUGCUGCCACUUCAUGAGCAAUUUGAUCUGCAGCCAUUGACAGGUAGUGUUUAUCUCCAUGCCAUGGGAUGCUUCACUUGCUUAUUUCUGCAGAUCAAAUUACUUGAGAGAGGCACAGGAAUAGGCUAAGCAGCCAUUACCUUUUCUUGACCAGUUCACAACCACCCUAGCCAUCUUGAACAGUUCUUGUGAUCUUAUUCAGUGCUUUGACCUUACUCAGCUCAUGACACCCUCUCAUUCUUACACUUUCUCUGAAAAUAAGCUACUAUUAUAAUGCCAUCUUCUCAGCCUUGGAAGAAACAUCCACCUAGAAGAGUAAUAAUCUAACAUAGCUUUAGUGUCCAAAAUGUAUCAAGAGUCCCUGGUGCAAAAUUUAUUUUGUUAUUAGGUAUAGCCUAUGUUUUCCCCAAGGAGCAAAAAGGUGGCAUACAUCGUUCUUUACUCAGCUUCAUCUUACCCCGUAACAGCCAUGUGUUAGACUGUGAGAUGGUGGUGACUGGACCAAAGUCACAGUGAGUUUAAUGGCUGAAAGGAAAUUUGAAUGCAGAGUUGCAUUCUGACCACAAUGCCAUAGAAUUGCCAUAUUCCUCAAUAUUCAUCCCUGCUGUGUUCUGUUUUGAUCUAAUUUUGGAAUAGUCAUAUUUGCUUAAAGAUUAAGGUAUCAAUUGAUCUUUAUUACAUUCUCUCCAUGGGUUUUCUUUUCCCAUACUGUACUGGCACACAAAAGCCCCCUCCUCAUAAUAACUUGUUCGCUGGAGACAAGGAAAAUGGAUUGAUAUGUUUUCACUAACAAAUAGAUAUUUAGUAGAAUAUCAGACUUAGUCACUCAUAGUCAGCAUCAUUCUUUCUAGAGGUAUGCUUGGCGGUAAUUGUCUGGUAAAGGAAAACCAGUAGGAUUUGAAGCUGCUAUGUGGUACAAUGCCGCCAUCUGCUGCACACAUUGAUAUUUUAACAUUUGAAAGAUGAGGGAAUAUGCUAAAUUACUUACGUGAAUCAGUUUUUAAAAGAAUUAUGAUGGAAGAUACAACUCUAAAAACUAAGAACAGCAAAGGAACAGUUUUUUUAAAGUGUAUAUCAAAUUUUCAAAAACAGUAAGAAAGCAAAGAACAAUUGUGUGGAGCAUAUUAUUUCAGUGAGAAUAAAAUAAACAAAAGGUUAAGUAAACUUUUGCAGACAUUACAAUAAAACAGAUUCUUCAAAUGAACAUUUUGUAAGAGUUACAUAUCAAUAUAUGUAUUGCCUUGCCACAUAGAGAGAUGUGUUGUUGGGGGCCUAUGCAAUACAUUAUUUUUUUUACUAUGAGUUAUAUGAACAGAGAUCAAACAACAUCAAAAAGGCUUGCUUCUUAACUCCUCUUAGAACCCUCCUAUGGUGGGUUAAAUGCUCAGACAAGGCAGUGCCCCACACCCUUUCAAAUAGGGGGCAGUGCACCUGUUUUGGCACUUGAAGGGAAACAGAAAGUGCUGUCCUUCUGCACCGCACCACCCUUGCCUAGGUUGGGUAGUGGUGGUGGCAGGUUCUGGUGAGAUCUCACUGGAAAUCAGUGCCAGUGCCAUUUCUCCACCAGUGGUGGAGGCGCUGUGGCAGGCAGAGUGUCUGUGGGGGCACCACCUUGGGGGCUUCCAUUGCCCAAAAUGGCUGCUUCACCCCACCUUAUGUGUGAGCCAGCCUUGCUCUCAAACUAUCUAUCUCUAGAAGGACCCAAUGCAGACUUCCAAGGUUUGGCAAUUUAGAGUCUGACUGCAGCCAGCAACAGAGCUAGCAGCUCCUUGGGAGCAAGAGUGGAAACAGUGCAUUACAUAGUUUAGCCUUAUAAACUACACCUUAUUUUAUUUUACAGAUGUUAUGCUCACACAAAGGAGAUCCAAUAUUUCACUUAGUGAAUGACUAAGGAGUGAAUAAAAAGAAACGUAUCAAUCUGAAAUAAUCUUUUAGACUGUUUCAAAGCUUUUGCCGGAUCAAUUUAUAUUGUCUUGAUGUUUGUCUUCCUAUAUUUGGUUUAUUUGUAUAGGCUAUGAAAUCACACUAGGUAGGUUUUUUGAUUUAAAAAAUCCUUUCUGGAUUUACCUCUCAGUACUCUUAGAUAGUGAAUUUUAAAUCCCAUAGAUGCCACAAACCAUAAUUUUGAGUACCAUUUAUCCAAAGUUAAACCUUUGGCGGCAGUUUUCUUUUGUUUACUCUUCACUCAGUUGUUUGGCCUCAGGAAUUUCAGAAAGAGCAAAACCAUAACUUAAAUUCUACGCAGACUGCACUAACAUGAAGAAAUUGGUUGAUGUUUCAGCUUCCAUUAGUGUACCCUCUCCAGCUGUCUCUAAGAUAGCUAACACAUUAUGCUUUGGGUGUCAAACUCUGACAGCUUGGAGGAUCAGCUAAGUUAUGAUACCGUAGGGCUGUUAGGAUCUUAUGACCAUUUAGGCAGUAAGCAGGGGAGGCCCUACUCCAAGUACCCCUUCCUCCUGAAGUAAAGUAGGUUGUGACAGAGGAGUCAGACUUCCCUGUUGUGGCACACCCACUCUGGUAUGUCCUCACUCGGGCCAUGCACUCAGUGCAAAAAUAUUAUUUACCCAGGCCUUUUAAUGUUGCAUAUAUUACGCGGUUGUAUAUGUUCAUAUGCUUUAAGCACUUAUUUUAGUUUUUCCCCUUUUGUUGUUGUUUUAGCACCUCUUCCCCCCCCCCAAUAUCAUUGUGUUUUGUUUCAAUUGUUUUGCACUAUUUUACAUUGCAAUCCUACAUAUGUCUAUUCAGAAGUAAGCCCCACCAAGUCCUAGGUAAAUAAGUGUAGCCUUCAAGGUAAUUUUGUGAGCUACUAAGAAACAGGGCAUAAAUGUAUUACAUAAUUAAUCUUUUUUAAAAAAUUCUUUUUAUUAAGUUCUUUUUUAAGACAAAAACAUACAAACGAACAACAACAACAAAAGAAAAAAGACAAAGCAACACAUAAAAAAAGAAAACAAACGGAAAACAAACCAACAUCAAUUCAUAACGUGACACUGAUUGACUUCUCUCCAUCUCGGUUUUGGGCUAUGUAACCACAAUACCUUUCUGCGGUAUCAUUUUACAACCUCUAUCUAUACAUCGCAGGCUUUAUGUUACACCUACUGUGAUUUAAAUAUUUCCUAAAUUUGCUUCUAUGUAUGUUAUGAAUUUGUUCCAAUCGUUAAUAAAUUUUACACUUUUU
This 7213-nucleotide long non-coding RNA is filed under the name Podarcis lilfordi (Lilford's wall lizard). Lineage: Eukaryota; Metazoa; Chordata; Lepidosauria; Squamata; Lacertidae. The record is from RNAcentral.